UCGGAGGAUGAGCCCGACUUUUUCCGGGUUUUAGAUGGGAUAAGCUGUCGAGAACAGAAUAUUACUAAUUGCGGCGCGGGACGAAGAAGCCGAAGCCGAUCAAAAAUCUGAACGUGAACAAAGGAGAAACUCCUCA
Non-coding RNA from Caenorhabditis elegans, 136 nucleotides. NCBI's taxonomy places the organism in Eukaryota, Metazoa, Nematoda, Chromadorea, Rhabditida, Rhabditidae. The record is from Ensembl.